AUUGAACGCUGGCGGCAUGCCUUACACAUGCAAGUCGAACGGCAGCACGGGAGCAAUCCUGGUGGCGAGUGGCGAACGGGUGAGUAAUAUAUCGGAACGUGCCCAGUCGUGGGGGAUAACGCAGCGAAAGCUGUACUAAUACCGCAUACGAUCUAAGGAUGAAAGCGGGGGAUCGCAAGACCUCGCGCGAUUGGAGCGGCCGAUAUCAGAUUAGCUAGUUGGUGGGGUAAAGGCCCACCAAGGCGACGAUCUGUAGCUGGUCUGAGAGGACGACCGGCCAGACUGGAACUGAGACACGGUCCAGACUCCUACGGGAGGCAGCAGUGGGGAAUUUUGGACAAUGGGCGCAAGCCUGAUCCAGCAAUGCCGCGUGCAGGAUGAAGGCUUUCGGGUUGUAAACUGCUUUUGUACGGAACGAAACGGCCCUUUCUAAUAUCGCGACGGGAUGACGGUAUCUGAAGAAUAAGGACCGGCUAACUACGUGCCAGCCGCCGCAGUAA
Molecule: ribosomal RNA, 500 nt
Filed under: uncultured bacterium
Lineage: Bacteria
Description: partial 16S ribosomal RNA
Rfam family: Bacterial small subunit ribosomal RNA
Source: RNAcentral